Molecule: ribosomal RNA, 406 nt
Filed under: uncultured bacterium
Lineage: Bacteria
Description: partial 16S ribosomal RNA
Rfam family: Bacterial small subunit ribosomal RNA
Source: RNAcentral
GAUGAACGCUAGCUACAGGCUUAACACAUGCAAGUCGAGGGACCGGCGCACGGGUGAGUAACACGUAUCCAACCUGCCCUUUACUCGGGGAUAGCCUUUCGAAAGAAAGAUUAAUACCCGAUAUAAAGGAUGGGGAUGCGUUCCAUUAGGUUGUUGUUGAGGUAACGGCUCACCAAGCCUUCGAUGGAUAGGGGUUCUGAGAGGAAGGUCCCCGACAUUGGAACUGAGACACGGUCCAAGCGGCUACGUGAGGCAGCAGUGAGGAAUAUUGGUCAAUGGGCGCGAGCCGGAACCAGCCAAGUAGCGUGAAGAAUGAAGGGGUAUGGGUCGUAAAAUUCUUUUAUAUAAGAAUAGGUAUUAUAUGAAUAAGGAACGGCUAACUCCGUGCAAGCGGCCGCGGUAAUAC